Non-coding RNA from Ciona intestinalis (vase tunicate), 464 nucleotides. NCBI's taxonomy places the organism in Eukaryota, Metazoa, Chordata, Ascidiacea, Phlebobranchia, Cionidae. The record is from RefSeq and is a predicted model, not a curated record.
UAUAAAUUUACCCUCAUCCAUAGCGUUAGUUGUUUCUGUAAAUAAGGCUUUAGGUUUAACUUAUGGAAACUCCAUGCUUGUAAUUUUGUCCACAGUAUCUACAAAAAGAAUUGUGUACCACUUUCUCUUUUACUUAAUAUGUGCUUUAUUAAAUUUACCCUCAUCCAUAUAGCGUUAGUUGUUUCUGUGAAUAAGGCUUUAGGUUUAACUUCUACAAAAACUCAUGCUUGUGACUGCUUUAGGGUACAGUGAUGGUACAACUGUACUGACCUUUUUAAUAUACCGGUCUUUUGUGUCUACUAGUUUUUCACUUUAAAAAAAUGGAAAAUCUGUAGAUAGAGCUGGAAACAUUUGGGUAUUAAAGAUUAAUUAAUUACGCUUCAAAUCCGGUACAGCUCGACCUUGAUGAUCAAAUAAAACCUUGCCAUAAAAUUUCCUUUUCAGUUUGGUAAUAUAAAGGUUGU